AAUGUAUAAAAAGCCCACAUUCAUUGCAUCAAACCCUCCAACAACAUCCCGGAAUUUGUCGAGAUCCGGCGCCGGUCGUCGGAUUUCUUCUCAUUCUCCGGCAACAUGAUGAAGCUCUCUUCUUCCGCCGUCGCCGCCUCCGUCCUCGCCGCCUCUACGGCGGCGCUCUCCUCCUCUCAUCCUUCUUCAUCCGUUCAGGAACUUAGAGGGGUGAAGGGUGGGGAAAUGAAGGUCGAGAAGGAGAAAUUUGCACCGAGAUUUGAUGGGUUGAAGUUUAUCGAGACAUUGGUGACGGCUCACAGGAACAAUUCGAUGUAGGGUUGUGACGUUUUGAUUUGGUUUGAUGGGGUCGAUUAUUGUUAUUGUUAUUUUUGGUAUUGUUUUGAUUUGAGUUACAGAUCCCAUUUGUUGGGCGCCGAAUGUAUUGAAAUGAAAACUAUUUGAGUUUGUUGUCAAACAUCUUUUCAUUUAAUUUGUUCGGAUGUUGCUUUAGAUACUAUUGGAUCUUGUUAUGAGA
Molecule: RNA transcript, 517 nt
Organism: Helianthus annuus (common sunflower)
Lineage: Eukaryota; Viridiplantae; Streptophyta; Magnoliopsida; Asterales; Asteraceae
Exons: 3
Source: RefSeq, a predicted model, not a curated record